This is a long non-coding RNA of Fopius arisanus, 1037 nucleotides long. RefSeq lists it as uncharacterized. The transcript is spliced from 3 exons. Lineage: Eukaryota; Metazoa; Arthropoda; Insecta; Hymenoptera; Braconidae. The record is from RefSeq and is a predicted model, not a curated record.
ACGUGACGUGAAUUAAAUUGCUCCAUCCACUCGCAUAUCUAAAGCGAAAUUGGUGAGACUCUUAUAAUUAGUGAUCUAGGAAGUGAAGAAUUGGGAAGGUGUAGAAUUCUUCUGGCAUUUAAAAAAUUUCAUUUUUCAUCUCACAAGUGAUUGUGGAUGGAAUGUCAGGCAGAAGCUGAUGUAUCAUUAUGCGCAGUUCGGCAUGCAGAGACUGUACAAAAAAAUAAUAAUUUCUGUUCGUGCUGCAAAAUAAAAUCAUCUCACAUGGUAAAAUCAAUAAAUUCAAGACAACAAAUCAAAUAAUUGGUGGAAAAUAGUGGUUCUGUUGACGAAACGGGGCUGAACUGGGGGCUAAAUUUUGUGGAUAAGGCACAACAACGGAUAAAACGACAUCGAUGGGGAACAUCUAGGGAAUCAGAUUUCAGGCACCAACAUGAACAACAACUUGAAUAUCAUCGCAGAAUAAUGAAAGGAUAAUUCAGUUCUUAAAUGACAAAAUAAGUGGCUAAGGAACAAAAUGUCAAGAUUUUCUGUUCCAGAGGGAAGAGAUUCUUCAAACAAAAUUCCGUAGACCAAUUUAGAAAAUCUCAUUCCACACAAUCCAAUUCUUCAAAUGUCUUUAUUAAUUAUCCUCGGAAAUAAAUUUUCAGUAGCUAAUUAUAUAAACUUCAAAUGAGGUCUCAAUCAUUUUCAUUUAUCAUGUAACAUUUUUCGAGAUGAAAAUGAACAUGAGAAAAACCAAUUCAGAGAAAAAUUGAUAGUACUCUAUUUUCGAAUGCCAAUUACAGAGGUAUGAUUUUAAGAAAUAAAAAUGAACUAAUUGCUCCUGGUAAAACUUUAAAAGAAAGCCUCUGACAUUUUGUUCUACCAUUACUCAUUAACGAGAUCGUUACAUACGAAAAAAGCUUGAUAGAAAACUCCCAUGGAUUUUCCAGAUAAUUAUAUCGAAUUUCUACUACACUUUAUUGAGUUUUCGUAAAUUCUGUAAAAAAUUUUGCGAUUUCUCUGUUUUUCGGAGGGAAUGUUCACUUUAAAAC